This 439-nucleotide ribosomal RNA is filed under the name uncultured bacterium. RNAcentral describes it as "partial 16S ribosomal RNA". It matches the Rfam family "Bacterial small subunit ribosomal RNA", at positions 339 to 795 of the family's 1533-position model. The record is from RNAcentral.
CUACGGGAUGCUGCAGUGAGGAAUAUUGCACAAUGGGGGGAACCCUGAUGCAGCAACGCCGCGUGGAGGAUGACGCAUUUCGGUGUGUAAACUCCUUUUAUAUGUCAAGAAAAUGACGGUAGCAUAUGAAUAAGCACCGGCUAACUCCGUGCCAGCAGCCGCGGUAAUACGGAGGGUGCAAGCGUUACUCGGAAUCACUGGGCGUAAAGGACGCGUAGGCGGGCUUGUAAGUCAGGUGUGAAAUCCUACAGCUUAACUGUAGAACUGCACUUGAAACUACGAGCCUAGAGUAUGGGAGGGGCAGAUGGAAUUAGUGGUGUAGGGGUAAAAUCCGUAGAUAUCACUAGGAAUACCUAAAGCGAAGGCGAUCUGCUGGAACAUAACUGACGCUAAGGCGUGAAAGCGUGGGGAGCAGACAGGAUUAGAUACCCUCGUAGUC